UACGAAGGGGGCUAGCGUUGCUCGGAAUCACUGGGCGUAAAGCGCACGUAGGCGGAUUGCUAAGUCAGGGGUGAAAUCCUGGAGCUCAACUCCAGAACUGCCUUUGAUACUGGCGACCUUGAGUCCGGGAGAGGUGAGUGGAACUGCGAGUGUAGAGGUGAAAUUCGUAGAUAUUCGCAAGAACACCAGUGGCGAAGGCGGCUCACUGGACCGGUACUGACGCUGAGGCGCGAAAGCGUGGGGAGCAAACGGG
RNAcentral lists this ribosomal RNA (253 nucleotides) under uncultured bacterium. RNAcentral's name for it is "partial 16S ribosomal RNA". It matches the Rfam family "Bacterial small subunit ribosomal RNA", at positions 524 to 776 of the family's 1533-position model. The record is from RNAcentral.